This 562-nucleotide unclassified non-coding RNA is filed under the name Hevea brasiliensis (rubber tree). Lineage: Eukaryota; Viridiplantae; Streptophyta; Magnoliopsida; Malpighiales; Euphorbiaceae. The record is from RNAcentral.
GCUGUGUUAUUGUCAUGGUUAUGGAGACACUUGUACAUUUUUCUUUGAAGGAAUUGCAAGAAAGUUGGCAUCAUCUGGAUAUGGAGUUUUUGCAAUGGAUUACCCAGGGUUUGGCCUUUCAGAAGGUCUUCAUUGCUAUAUCCCCAGCUUUGACAGGCUAGUUGAUGAUGUUAUUGAGCAUUUCUCCAAAGUCAAAGAGGACCCGGCAAUUAGGACACUCCCAAGCUUCCUGUUUGGACAGUCAAUGGGUGGAGCUGUUGCUUUGAAGGUGCACUUAAAACAACCCGAUGCAUGGAAUGGUGCCAUUCUUGUUGCACCUAUGUGCAAAAUUGCAGAUGACAUGGUUCCACCUUUGUUGGUGAAGAAAAUCUUGAUUGGUGUAGCAAAUGUUCUUCCAACGAAAAAAUUAGUUCCACAAAAGGAUUUGGCUGAGGCUGCUUUUAGGGAAUUGAAGAAGCGAGAGCUGACAGCUUAUAAUGUUAUUGCUUACAAGGACAAGCCACGGUNUGAAGACAGCUUUAGAGAUGCUCAGGACCGUGGCUUGUCCUUGUAAGCAAUAACA